AACGUAGGACACAAGCGUUAUCCGGAGUUACUGGGCGUAAAGGGCGUUUAGGCGGGUGAUUAAGUUCGCUAUGAAAGCGCCAGGCUAAACCUGGCGAGGCUGGCGGAUACUGGUCAUCUGGAGUAAGGGAGAGGGAGGUAGAAUUCCGCGUGUAGUGGUGAAAUGCGUAGAGAUGCGGAGGAAUACCAGUGGCGAAGGCGGCCUCCUGGCCCUUAACUGACGCUGAAGCGCGAAAGCAUGGGGAGCGAACGGG
RNAcentral lists this ribosomal RNA (253 nucleotides) under uncultured bacterium. RNAcentral describes it as "partial 16S ribosomal RNA". It matches the Rfam family "Bacterial small subunit ribosomal RNA", at positions 524 to 776 of the family's 1533-position model. The record is from RNAcentral.